CCGAGUUUACAACUCCCAAACCCAAUGUGAACGUUACCAAACUGUUGCCUCGGCGGGGUCACGCCCCGGGUGCGUCGCAGCCCCGGAACCAGGCGCCCGCCGGAGGAACCAACCAAACUCUUUCUGUAGUCCCCUCGCGGACGUAUUUCUUACAGCUCUGAGCAAAAAUUCAAAAUGAAUCAAAACUUUCAACAACGGAUCUCUUGGUUCUGGCAUCGAUGAAGAACGCAGCGAAAUGCGAUAAGUAAUGUGAAUUGCAGAAUUCAGUGAAUCAUCGAAUCUUUGAACGCACAUUGCGCCCGCCAGUAUUCUGGCGGGCAUGCCUGUCCGAGCGUCAUUUCAACCCUCGAACCCCUCCGGGGGAUCGGCGUUGGGGAUCGGGACCCCUCACACGGGUGCCGGCCCCGAAAUACAGUGGCGGUCUCGCCGCAGCCUCUCCUGCGCAGUAGUUUGCACAACUCGCACCGGGAGCGCGGCGCGUCCACGUCCGUAAAACACCCAACUUUCUGAAAUGUUGACCUCGGAUCAGGUAGGAAUACCCGCUGAACUUAAGCAUAUCA
Molecule: ribosomal RNA, 560 nt
Filed under: Trichoderma asperellum
Lineage: Eukaryota; Fungi; Ascomycota; Sordariomycetes; Hypocreales; Hypocreaceae
Description: eukaryotic LSU rRNA
Rfam family: 5.8S ribosomal RNA (bases 184-337)
Source: RNAcentral